UCCAUGCAUUGACUUGGGAGCUGAAUCCGACCUUGCAGUUGCAGUCACACACACGCAUCAUAAACGCACAUGUUUCAAUCGCCCCUCGCGAGCUGUGUAGCUUCCAGGCUCACCUCGUCCACAUGCAGAAAUGGCUGCGGAUGCGGAGACACUGUUUCAGUUUCGCCGCUGCCGGUCUUCUUCCUUGGGCUCACGCCGAGGGGAGGAAGGAGGAAGGGAGGCCGCCGCUGCUCACACCCAUGGUCUGCCCGUGGAGGAAGAGUGCCGCGCCGCCCUGUGGAUGCUCACCCGGGUCAAGAACGGCGGCGGCGGCGGCGAGGAGCGCGAGGAGGAGGGUAACGAGCGCGGCCAUGGCGAAGAGGUAGGUGUAGAGCGGCCGCAAGGCCGGCCCCAAGCACUGCCGCAAACUCGACGCCGCCGCGGCCGGAAGCGGAGACGGAGAUGACUGGGCUUGCGAGUUCGGCUCGACGCGUGCGCGCUGGCGCCGUCCGAAGCAGGAGCAGAGCAUUAUUAGCAGGAGGACGAGGAGCUGGUGGCUCCGGCUGCUGCUGGCCUUGGUCAGGACGAUGACAGUAGCUCGUGGGAGAGCGGCAGCUCCGGCGGCGGCUGCAACAUCUUGAAUCUUGACAUUGCGUCGGGUACCAGAGAGCUAGGUCAGCUCCAGCUGCUCUCAGUCAUGGCCUCAUGGGCGGGCGCGCAUCCCACCUGAAGUCCCCGUCAAGCAACUGCUCGACAUCAGCGGCACAGCAGCCUGGCGGCUGAGUGGCAGCCUGGCAGCCUUGGGCAGCGGCGAGCAAGAGAUGGGGGAUAGCCGGACUUGAGGAAGAUGGUGCCGACAGUCUGUCUCGUUCGGCUUGGAGAGUGGGGGCAGAAACGUCCGUUCAAAUGAAACAAGGAAAUUGAGAAAAGUUGGGGAAAAAACACUGUGGGUCCACAAUUUUUUAUUGUUGGGGAGAAAAAUGAAGAACCGUUGGAGAUUGACACUUUUUUCCUCCCCAUAUUUGUUUUGGGAGUUGGCAAAUAUCAAAGUUUAGGAUAAAAAUAUAAGAAAUUGUUGGAGAUGCUCUAAGAUUUCAGUCAACAGUGCUCUACGCGAC
Molecule: long non-coding RNA, 1097 nt
Organism: Panicum virgatum (switchgrass)
Lineage: Eukaryota; Viridiplantae; Streptophyta; Magnoliopsida; Poales; Poaceae
Exons: 2
Source: RefSeq, a predicted model, not a curated record